Long non-coding RNA from Zonotrichia albicollis (white-throated sparrow), 1673 nucleotides. RefSeq lists it as uncharacterized. The record is from RefSeq and is a predicted model, not a curated record. NCBI's taxonomy places the organism in Eukaryota, Metazoa, Chordata, Aves, Passeriformes, Passerellidae.
UACUAUGAUGAUGAAGAUGCUCUAAAAAUAUACAGAAUCUAAUCUAGUUUAGAUUUGACUGAAAUAAACAUGGACAAGGAUAUGUUGGGAGAUGAUCCUUUUACUUGGAACUUUCACCUUAGUGUGGGACUGUGCAGAUUGAUCUGGAGGAUUUCUAUUUUGGAUGCCAUUAAGCCAUCUUGUAUCUUCUAGCAGGAAGUCAGAGUAGCAUCUCGACUGCAUCUUCAAACAAGACUUUUGCAAGCUGAUGCUCACAAGGGGCUCUGUUUAGAGGUUUGUUCCUGUGGGGAGGCAGGCAGCUCCUCCUGGUUGCUUCUGAAAGCUUCUCUUCAUUGCACUUUCCAUCUGCACUGGCUUCUGUUUUAGCCACUAAGGUCAAGUCGGUGUGGUUUUCCCACUCUGCCUGUUGCAUUAGUGGCACUCUGGAAGUGAGACUUGCACUGGAUGGGAAGUGUUUGGUGAAUUUUUAAAUACCAUUAUUGAUUUCACAUUAAUUUUCUUUAUGAACCGGGCAAAGCUCUUAUGCGAGGGUAUAACAGCCAAGAAAUAUUUGACAAGUUGUUUAAAAUCUAUUGCCUGGAAGAAGCCUGAUAGAUCAAUUAAUUUAUUUCCCUGCUAUUUCAAUAUAUCCUUUAAACAUAUUUUCACUGAUUGUUAUUACCCAUCCUGAAGUAUACAGCACAAAAGCAAUCAUAUAUUACCUGCAGCAGAGGGGGCUGCCUCCUGGAUCUCUGUCCACAAGAGAUAUAGAUAUUUUGCCCAAAGUUGGUUUUUUCCUUGCCUUCAAUGAAACAUGAUUAGAACAUAAUGAUUUUGCCUCUGCAUCAGUCCACACCAACUCUAUGGUGUUUUAGGGCAUCAAACCUGUAAAAAGGGCAGAUUCUUUUACAUAUGCAAACUCCUCUACCUGUUACAUCAGUUUAUUUCACAUUCCACCAGUGUUCCUUUGGAUACAGAUUAUUGAUUGCUCCCUAGUGAAUACCUUUUUAGUCAUUCUUUGGCCUCAGAAAAUUACCUUUGAAUGUUUUAUGCAAGAGUAUUCAUUAUGAACAAUUAAUGUACUGAAAAUGUCAGCACCUCAAGCAGGCAUUUUAUAAAAGAUGAGUAAAUUUAUGGUAAUGCAUCAUUCAAACUUCCUGCACUUUUCAUUCUUUUAAAAUUUAUGUCUUACAUUGCAGUUCAAUAGCCUGUAACAAUUUGAUGACCUGAGUGGAAUAAUGUCAAAAAUGUCUGUGUAUUUUAGAAAAAAUUUAGAAAUUAAGAUUUUUAUUUUUGCUAUUACUGUUUUUAGGUAUGUCACAGCUUUAUAGUAACGCGAAGUAUUUGCUUUAUGACAGCUCUUCACAUGCUUUUUAAUCAGAAGUGAAAAAAACUUGGUUCAGAGCAAGCUUCAGUCUACAUAGAUCCAUUCAUAGAAAGUGAGGAAAGUCUUUUGUAUCAAGUGGAGGGUGAAAAGACUACUUGUACCCAUUUAUAUUGAUAUUUGUUAAGUUUUAUAAUAUAGAACACCCUGAAUUUAAACCUCUUAAACUUUUCCCUUUGACAUGUGGAAGGAUCUCAGAUUGUUUUGCUUAAUUUAGUAAGCUUUAAGCCUCGAAAAUGAUGCGUGUUUCACAUCGCUGUCCAAACGCUCUAAAAAAGUAUUUUUAAGGCACUGCCAGCUAAUUACCCAA